UGGGGAAUAUUGGGCAAUGGGCGCAAGCCUGACCCAGCAACGCCGCGUGAAGGAAGAAGGCUUUCGGGUUGUAAACUUCUUUUAUCAGGGACGAAGAAAGUGACGGUACCUGAUGAAUAAGCCACGGCUAACUACGUGCCAGCAGCCGCGGUAAUACGUAGGUGGCGAGCGUUGUCCGGAUUUACUGGGUGUAAAGGGCGCGUAGGGCGGGGAUGCAAGUCAGAUGUGAAAUCCAUGGGCUCAACCCAUGAACUGCAUUUGAAACUGUGUCUCUUGAGUGUCGGAGAGGUAGAUGGAAUUCCUAGUGUAGCGGUGAAAUGCGUAGAUAUUAGGAGGAACACCAGUGGCGAAGGCGAUCUACUGGACGAUAACUGACGCUGAGGCGCGAAAGCGUGGGGAGCAAACAGGAUUAGAUACC
Molecule: ribosomal RNA, 418 nt
Filed under: uncultured bacterium
Lineage: Bacteria
Description: bacterial SSU rRNA
Rfam family: Bacterial small subunit ribosomal RNA
Source: RNAcentral